CAGGCCUAACACAUGCAAGUCGAGGGGUAUAGUUCUCCGGAACUAGAGACCGGCGCACGGGUGCGUAACGCGUAUGCAAUCUACCUUUUACAGAGGGAUAGCCCAGAGAAAUUUGGAUUAAUACCUCAUAGUAUUAUAGAAUGGCAUCAUUUUAUAAUUAAAGUCACAACGGUAAAAGAUGAGCAUGCGUCCCAUUAGCUAGUUGGUAAGGUAACGGCUUACCAAGGCGACGAUGGGUAGGGGUCCUGAGAGGGAGAUCCCCCACACUGGUACUGAGACACGGACCAGACUCCUACGGGAGGCAGCAGUGAGGAAUAUUGGUCAAUGGACGCAAGUCUGAACCAGCCAUGCCGCGUGCAGGAUGACGGUCCUAUGGAUUGUAAACUGCUUUUGUACAGGAAGAAACACUGGCUCGUGAGCCGGCUUGACGGUACUGUAAGAAUAAGGAUCGGCUAACUCCGUGCCAGCAGCCGCGGUAAUACGGAGGAUCCAAGCGUAUCGGAUCAUGGGUCGCAAGACAAUUUACAAGGUGCUGCAAUGGUUGUCGUCAGCUCGUGCCGUGAGGUGUCAGGUUAAGUCCUAUAACGAGCGCAACCCCUGUUGUUAGUUGCCAGCGAGUCAAGUCGGGAACUCUAACAAGACUGCCAGUGCAAACUGUGAGGAAGGUGGGGAUGACGUCAAAUCAUCACGGCCCUUACGCCUUGGGCUACACACGUGCUACAAUGGACGGUACAGAGAGCAGCCACUGGGUGACCAGGAGCGAAUCUACAAAACCGUUCUCAGCUCGGAUCGGAGUCUGCAACUCGACUCCGUGAAGCUGGAAUCGCUAGUAAUCGGAUAUCAGCCAUGAUCCGGUGAAUACGUUCCCGGGCCUUGUACACACCGCCCGUCAAGCCAUGGAAGCUGGGGGUGCCUGAAGAUGGUGAC
This 927-nucleotide ribosomal RNA is filed under the name uncultured bacterium BS5. RNAcentral describes it as "bacterial SSU rRNA". It matches the Rfam family "Bacterial small subunit ribosomal RNA". Lineage: Bacteria; Pseudomonadati; Bacteroidota. The record is from RNAcentral.